CAGGGUGUAGCGCAGUUGGUAGCGCGCCUCGCUUGGGACGAGGAGGUCGCUGGUUCGAGCCCAGCCACCCUGACCA
This 76-nucleotide transfer RNA is filed under the name Candidatus Proximibacter danicus. RNAcentral describes it as "tRNA-Pro". It matches the Rfam family "tRNA". Rfam says of the family: Transfer RNA (tRNA) molecules are approximately 80 nucleotides in length. Their secondary structure includes four short double-helical elements and three loops (D, anti-codon, and T loops). The record is from RNAcentral. Lineage: Bacteria; Pseudomonadati; Pseudomonadota; Betaproteobacteria.